This 514-nucleotide ribosomal RNA is filed under the name uncultured bacterium. RNAcentral describes it as "partial 16S ribosomal RNA". It matches the Rfam family "Bacterial small subunit ribosomal RNA", at positions 28 to 523 of the family's 1533-position model. The record is from RNAcentral.
GAUGAACGCUGGCGGCGUGCCUAAUACUUGCAAGUCGAGCGAACAGAUAAGAAGCUUGCUUCUCUGAUGUUAGCGGCGGACGGGUGAGUGACACGUGGGUAACCUACCUAUAAGACUGGGAUAACUCCGGGAAACCGGGGCUAAUACCGGAUAAUAUUUUGAACCGCAUGGUUCAAUAGUGAAAGACGGUUUCGGCUGUCACUUAUAGAUGGACCCGCGCCGUAUUAGCUAGUUGGUAAGGUAACGGCUUACCAAGGCGACGAUACGUAGCCGACCUGAGAGGGUGAUCGGCCACACUGGAACUGAGACACGGUCCAGACUCCUACGGGAGGCAGCAGUAGGGAAUCUUCCGCAAUGGGCGAAAGCCUGACGGAGCAACGCCGCGUGAGUGAUGAAGGUCUUCGGAUCGUAAAACUCUGUUGUUAGGGAAGAACAAAUUUGUUAGUCACUGAACAAGUCUUGACGGUACCUAACCAGAAAGCCACGGCUAACUACGUGCCAGCAGCCGCAGUAA